CACGCCAUAUCGAGAUUUUACCGACGAAAGUUCGGUAACAAUAAUGAAUAAGGUACACUCAUUUUGUGACCUUCUUUAUUAAAAGUGAAGUGUUACACAAUUUUGUUUGUUAGAGUUACCCCCCUUUGUACAUUGUUCCGGGUGUGUAAUUCUCUCUGGUUCAUUUUUUAUUUUGUUUACAUGAUAGGAGGCCAUUUUGGCUGAUGUUUUUGUAGUUUCUGCUUGUUCCAAGCAUUGCAUGUGCCUUGUGGGUAUACACUCCUGCACCAUAUUCUCUUACCACAUGCACGUUCAAUCAUUCACUUAAUAAAGUGACCCACUUUGACAGUGUUGAUUAUUGAAUUGGUUGACUAUCUGCACAGAGGCAGAAUAAAAAGGAACAGUUCUCUAAGGUGUAACGUGCAAUUAGUACACAAUUCAAUGAUUAUAAUGAAACAGUUUCACUUUGCAACUGGAUAAUUAUAAGAAAUUUUAUUUUGUAUUCCGAUCCCGAUCGAGAGUUGUUGACUGGGAACGACGUGUUUCAUUAAUAUACAUGUAACAUCAAGCAUUUUUUAUAUCACAUUAAAAAAACCAAAAUAUACACAUA
Long non-coding RNA from Ostrea edulis (European flat oyster), 589 nucleotides. RefSeq lists it as uncharacterized. The record is from RefSeq and is a predicted model, not a curated record. NCBI's taxonomy places the organism in Eukaryota, Metazoa, Mollusca, Bivalvia, Ostreida, Ostreidae. The transcript is spliced from 2 exons.